RNAcentral lists this ribosomal RNA (532 nucleotides) under Bifidobacterium adolescentis JCM 15918. Its description in RNAcentral is "bacterial SSU rRNA". It matches the Rfam family "Bacterial small subunit ribosomal RNA", at positions 158 to 701 of the family's 1533-position model. Lineage: Bacteria; Bacillati; Actinomycetota; Actinomycetes; Bifidobacteriales; Bifidobacteriaceae. The record is from RNAcentral.
GGGUGGUAAUGCCGGAUGCUCCGACAUGACGCAUGUCGUGUCGGGAAAGAUUCAUCGGUAUGGGAUGGGGUCGCGUCCUAUCAGCUUGAUGGCGGGGUAACGGCCCACCAUGGCUUCGACGGGUAGCCGGCCUGAGAGGGCGACCGGCCACAUUGGGACUGAGAUACGGCCCAGACUCCUACGGGAGGCAGCAGUGGGGAAUAUUGCACAAUGGGCGCAAGCCUGAUGCAGCGACGCCGCGUGCGGGAUGACGGCCUUCGGGUUGUAAACCGCUUUUGACUGGGAGCAAGCCCUUCGGGGUGAGUGUACCUUUCGAAUAAGCACCGGCUAACUACGUGCCAGCAGCCGCGGUAAUACGUAGGGUGCAAGCGUUAUCCGGAAUUAUUGGGCGUAAAGGGCUCGUAGGCGGUUCGUCGCGUCCGGUGUGAAAGUCCAUCGCUUAACGGUGGAUCCGCGCCGGGUACGGGCGGGCUUGAGUGCGGUAGGGGAGACUGGAAUUCCCGGUGUAACGGUGGAAUGUGUAGAUAUCGGA